UACGUAGGCAGCGAGCGUUGUUCGGAGUUACUGGGCGUAAAGGGCGCGCAGGCGGCUCUGAAAGUCAGAUGUGAAAGCCCCGGGCUUAACCUGGGAAUUGCAUUUGAUACUCUGGAGCUUGAGUGUGGGAGAGGAGAGUGGAAUUCCCAGUGUAGAGGUGAAAUUCGUAGAUAUUGGGAAGAACACCGGUGGCGAAGGCGGCUCUCUGGACCACAACUGACGCUGAGGCGCGAAAGCGUGGGGAGCAAACAGG
RNAcentral lists this ribosomal RNA (253 nucleotides) under uncultured bacterium. Its description in RNAcentral is "partial 16S ribosomal RNA". It matches the Rfam family "Bacterial small subunit ribosomal RNA", at positions 524 to 776 of the family's 1533-position model. The record is from RNAcentral.